Molecule: long non-coding RNA, 623 nt
Organism: Humulus lupulus (European hop)
Lineage: Eukaryota; Viridiplantae; Streptophyta; Magnoliopsida; Rosales; Cannabaceae
Exons: 4
Source: RefSeq, a predicted model, not a curated record
GUUAUUUUUUAGGAACCAAAAUCUGUCCACCACAGUUCGUGGACAACACCAUCAAUGGCCCUAAUCCUGGUGAGUCACGUCAACUCAACCUUGGCUACUCCCUGUGCAUCCGUACAAAUCAAGCCAUCAUGAUCUAGCUCAUGAACUCCAUUUCCGAGACCAUGUUUGGUCAUAUUGUUUGGUGCACCACCUCCUUUGUUGUUUGGCACACUCUAGAGCUCUUGUUCACCACUCAUUCCAAGGCUAGAACCCUCCAACUUCGUUUCCAACUUCAAGUUCUCAAAAAGGGUGUUUAAGUUUCUUGAAACUUAAGGUUUUCGGAUUUUUCCAUCCCAUUCUUGUCUCCAAUAUCCAGGUUUUUGAUGAUGCAGGAAAAUAAGCUUGGAUGGCGGGACGAAUUCAUGGCAAUUUUGGCAUGUGUAUUGGGAGAGGACUGAAUGGAUGGACUGCUGGAAAAAAUCGAGAAUGAAGUUUAUAUUUUUGAGUCUUUUUAAUUUAUGUAUUUAUAUUUUGGCAUUUAGUAUUUGAACAAUUAAUUAAAGGUUUAUGUUUCUUUAUGUUUUUUAUGUAAUAACAAUGGGAUCCCGUAUUUUGGAUUUUUAUAAUAAAGUUCUAUUAUCCUA